UACGAAGGGGGCUAGCGUUGUUCGGAAUUACUGGGCGUAAAGCGUGCGCAGGCGGUUAUGUAAGACAGAUGUGAAAUCCCCGGGCUCAACCUGGGAACUGCAUUUGUGACUGCAUAGCUAGAGUACGGUAGAGGGGGAUGGAAUUCCGCGUGUAGCAGUGAAAUGCGUAGAUAUGCGGAGGAACACCGAUGGCGAAGGCAAUCCCCUGGACCUGUACUGACGCUCAUGCACGAAAGCGUGGGGAGCAAACAGG
This 253-nucleotide ribosomal RNA is filed under the name uncultured bacterium. RNAcentral's name for it is "partial 16S ribosomal RNA". It matches the Rfam family "Bacterial small subunit ribosomal RNA", at positions 524 to 776 of the family's 1533-position model. The record is from RNAcentral.